Molecule: long non-coding RNA, 754 nt
Organism: Nyctereutes procyonoides (raccoon dog)
Lineage: Eukaryota; Metazoa; Chordata; Mammalia; Carnivora; Canidae
Exons: 4
Source: RefSeq, a predicted model, not a curated record
CGGCCCCGCGGGCCGCGGGAGCGUGAAGUGUGGGGCGAGGGCUCCCGCGCUUACAGACCCAGGGGCCCCCCAGAGGCUUCCCGGGUCUGAAGCACUUCCCGGGCCCCGCUGGGAGCAGCGCAGGGCACCCGCGGGAGCCCGGCCUGGGAGCACUCCGUCCUGAGCCCAGCCGGCCUCUACCUCCUGCUCUGGGCAGAUGAGGAAACAGCUAAAACACUUGGAGCUGCAUGGGCGAUAUUGUGGGUGCUAAGCCUGGAGAGGUGGGGGUCCGCCCUGCCCUGUAUGACAACACCUCCCACCACCACCACCACCUGCCACCACUUGUCUUCCCAGUCUCUUGGAGCAUUGCUGUUUGGUGCCCUGGACUAACCACCCUGGAGUAAACUGCUCGCAGUGGUGAGAAUACGGAUUCCUCAACUCUGCCCAGGAGCAUCAAAAGCUAAAACUCAGGAAGAGGCAAGACAGGGAAGGGCGGUCCAGCAGAAGGAACAGCCAGUGCAAAGGCCUGGAGAAUAUAGAAGCUGCCAUCAGCUUACUGCCUUUCCGACGGGGGCCUGGAGGCCUGCAUGAAGUUUUAUCCAAGGGGGCCGAAACCAAUGACAGGUGUCCUUAUGAGGGAAGACGCUGACCCGGAGAAGGUCACGGGGAAGCAGCAGAGGUUGAAGUGAUGCAGCCGCAAGCCAAGGAAGCCACCAAGGAAGACAAAGUGGAAGAAGCAGGAACAGAUUCUCCCCUAGAACCUUCUGAGGGAGCC